UCAGGAUGAACGCUGACAGGAAUGCUUAACACAUGCAGGUCUACUUGAUCCUCGGGUGAAGGUGGCGGACGGGUGAGUAACGCGUAAAGAACUUGCCUUACAGACUGGGACAACAUUUGGAAACGAAUGCUAAUACCGGAUAUUAUGAUUGGGUCGCAUGAUCUGGUUAUGAAAGCUAUAUGCGCUGUGAGAGAGCUUUGCGUCCCAUUAGUUAGUUGGUGAGGUAACGGCUCACCAAGACGAUGAUGGGUAGCCGGCCUGAGAGGGUGAACGGCCACAAGGGGACUGAGACACGGCCCUUACUCCUACGGGAGGCAGCAGUGGGGAAUAUUGGACAAUGGACCAAAAGUCUGAUCCAGCCAAUUCUGUGUGCACGAUGAAGUUUUUCGGAAUGUAAAGUGCUUUCAGUUGGGAAGAAGUCAGUGACGGUACCAACAGAAGAAGCGACGGCUAAAUACGUGCCAGCCGCGGC
RNAcentral lists this ribosomal RNA (472 nucleotides) under uncultured bacterium. Its description in RNAcentral is "bacterial SSU rRNA". It matches the Rfam family "Bacterial small subunit ribosomal RNA", at positions 24 to 518 of the family's 1533-position model. The record is from RNAcentral.